GCUUGUGCAUCGAACGGUUGGCAUGCUGUCUUUAUUAUCAUCAUAUGCUCAUAGCAUUUUGGUCUUCCUCUUGGGUUCCUGUGUUGCCUACUGUUCAAAUAGUAUUAUUGUGGCUUAGAAUAUAUGUUCCAUUUAGAUCCCUUUGUGGGGAUGGUGGUGGAUUUUGAUGCAAUGCAUGCAUUCCAUCUUAGGCUUGUAUUGUGCAGCUUUUGUGGUAUGCAUGUAGUUGUUGUCCUUUUGGAUGCGGUGCAUGCAAUGAAUGUGGCUUGAAUUGUCCCGUUUAGUUCUUCAAAUUGUGGUUGCCUUGAAAGACUUUUGCCUGGGUGCUUGUUUUAUUUUUCGUUCAAGAAGAUAAUGCUUGUACCUUGAGCUUGGUCAUCGAUGGAUGC
This 389-nucleotide unclassified non-coding RNA is filed under the name Canavalia dolichothyrsa. Its description in RNAcentral is "partial external transcribed spacer". Lineage: Eukaryota; Viridiplantae; Streptophyta; Magnoliopsida; Fabales; Fabaceae. The record is from RNAcentral.